Molecule: ribosomal RNA, 254 nt
Filed under: uncultured bacterium
Lineage: Bacteria
Description: partial 16S ribosomal RNA
Rfam family: Bacterial small subunit ribosomal RNA
Source: RNAcentral
UACGGGGGGGGCAAGCGUUGUUCGGAAUUACUGGGCGUAAAGGGCUCGUAGGCGGCCAACUAAGUCAGACGUGAAAUCCCUCGGCUUAACCGGGGAACUGCAUCUGAUACUGGAUGGCUUGAGUUCGGGAGAGGGAUGCGGAAUUCCAGGUGUAGCGGUGAAAUGCGUAGAUAUCUGGAGGAACACCGGUGGCGAAGGCGGCAUCCUGGGACCAAUACUGACGCUGAGGAGCGAAAGCCAGGGGAGCAAACGGG